RNAcentral lists this ribosomal RNA (449 nucleotides) under uncultured bacterium. RNAcentral describes it as "partial 16S ribosomal RNA". It matches the Rfam family "Bacterial small subunit ribosomal RNA", at positions 29 to 523 of the family's 1533-position model. The record is from RNAcentral.
AAUGAACGCUGGCGGCAGGCCUAAAACAUGCAAGUCGAACGACCCAGCAAUAGGGAGUGGCGCACGGGUGCGUAACAUGCGGGAAUAUGCAUUUUGGUACGGAACAACGUUUGGAAACGAACGCUAAUACCGUCUGAUCGCUUCGGGGUAAAGAUUUAUCGCCAAAAGAUUAGCCCGCACUGGAUUAGCUAGUUGGUUAGGUAGUGGCUCACCAAGGUGACGAGCCAUAGCUGGUCUGGGAGGAUGAUCCGCCACCCUGGGACUGAGACCCGGCCCAGACUCCUACGGGAGGCAGCAGUUAGGAAUAUUGGACAAUGGGGGCAAGCUUGAUCCAGCCAUGCCGCGUGAGUGAUGAAGGCCUUCGGGUUGUAAAGCUCUUUAGCAGACGAUUAUAAUGACUGUAGUCGGAGAAUAAGCCCCGGCUAACUUCGUGCCAGCCGCCGCGGUAA